Molecule: long non-coding RNA, 2545 nt
Filed under: Marmota monax (woodchuck)
Lineage: Eukaryota; Metazoa; Chordata; Mammalia; Rodentia; Sciuridae
Source: RNAcentral
UUUUGCUACUUCAUUUGAUAAUGACAGUCACCAUAACCCUUCUUCUCUAAGGACCUCCUAAGCAAAAAAACAUUCUCCAAAAGAAACAAGAUUGAGCUCACAUAAGGAAAUCUGUCAUAUUUUCCUAAUAUCUAAUUUCCUGUUCAUACUCAAAUGUCCUCAAUCAUCUCCUACUGUCCUCCCCAAAAGUAGGAUCCGAUCAAGUUUCAACCAUUGCAUGGGUUAUUUAUUUAUUUGGGAGUGUCUACCAGGGGUUGAACUCAGGGGUACUCAACCACUGAGCCACACCCCCAGCCCUACUUUGUAUUUUAUUUAGAGACAGGGUCUCACUGAGUUGCUUGGUGCCUCACUUUUGCUGAGGCUGGCUUGGAAUUCAAAUCCUCCUGCCCCAGCCUCCUGAGCUGCUGGGAUUACAGGUGGGUGCCAUGGUGCCUGGCUUGGUUAUGUUUUUGUUAAUCUCUUUCCUUCCAGAACAGUUUCUUCUCAAUGGUUUUUUUUUCCAUUACAUUUUUCCCAGAGAGUCUCAGCUUGAUCCUCCCCUUUUGCCCCCCACCCCCAAAGCAGAGCCACGUAUUGUUUCUUCAAUUACUAUUACCAAGGCUUCUCUCAUAAUGACCCAUUCACUUGCAGAAGGGGCUCCUGACCUUGGUGGGGCUACUCAAUUAGUUCUUAGCCCCGCCUAUGGCUCCAUUUGAUUGCAAUCUGACUUGAUUUUUCUGCUCUCUCCCCCAGAAAUUCCCAGGAAUGGAAACACCCAGCAGCCCCUUCCACCAACAUUGUUUGUCUCUUCUGAUGUUGCCCUCAAUGCUCUGACUCUGCACAUUGUAUUUCUGCUAACUUCAUCUUACCUACAAAACAGACAUUUCCCCCCUUCCACUGCAAUAGAUACCCCUUUCCAUCGAAACUACACCAGAGGUGUAAUGAGAUCAUUGAUGUGAAUGCAACACAGUACCAGCAUACAGUAAGUGCUCAAUAAGUACAAGCUAUUAUUGCCAGGGCAGUGCAAAUUGGGGCUCUCCUCUCCUUCCUCCAUCCUUCUGUGAGGCCUAAGUUCCUGGUUGCGCUUUGGCCACCCUUUCAUGCUAAUGAAGUGCUUUGAAUUUGUCAUUAUUUCAAACCUGUAGAUCUGUGUGUGACAUGCUGUGAGGCUGGCCUUCCUCUUCUGCCUGUGCACGAUUGCCUUUAGGGACCCCAUGAAGGACUUGCAUUUGUCCCUUCAUUUCCUUUAGGCUUUGGCCCAUAGUCCUAACCUUUUGACUUCAUUUCAAGUCUUGGAUUUCCUUAUUGAACAUAUUGGUUCUCCCUCCGAAUUUUGCUUUCUGCAAAUGUGAUACCGUGACUCAUAAGUCAUCAUCUGAACCAGUGAUAAGAAAUAUUGAAGGAGACUGGGGCAUGCCAUCAGAAACCUUCCCCCAGCUCAGUUUCUCAGUGGAAAAAAUAUUUAUCGAGCACCUGUAAUGUGCUCUUCCAUUGCUUACACAUACACGGAUGGCCACCAUGGAUCAGCUAGUCAUGUUUAAAUCUAACCCUUAUUCCUUCAUCUUGCCCACCAAGAAUCCUGAAAAAUUCUGUCAGGUGCUUUGCUAAAAUUAAGCCUAUGGUAUGUAUAACAGUGCCUCCUGGUACCAAUCUACCAACAAUGGAAAUGAGGCUGAUUUGACAAAUUAUCCUUCCUGAGCCACACUGGCCAUCAGUGAUGCUGCCAUCUUUUUAGAGGACUCAAAACCUCUCUGCCAACAGAGCUUCGUCAGACAUCUGUGAUUUCUAGAAUCCUUCCUGCAGUCUUUCUCAAACCUGGGCAACAUGGGCCUGCUCCAGUUUCCCCCCACCCCUCUCAGCUUCCUGAUUUCUUGGUAUUUACCGGUAGGGGUUCUGCACUCUUGACUGAAUUUGUACAGUUCUUGAUUGCAUUUGGUUGGAAUCAAGAGUUGAGCCCAGGCAUAGCAGAAGGGCCCUCCCCGAGUGCUACAUCAGCCAUCUUAGGUCCUAAUUUCUCUAUGGUCUUUCUUACAAUCCUUUCCAGGUUGCCGAUUAUUCUCUUUAGUAAAAGAAAACAGAAGGCUGGGUAUGGUAGCACACACCUGUAAUCAGUGGCUUGGGAGGCUGAGGCAGGGAGAUUGCAAGUUCAAGGCCUGCCUCAGCAACAAAGAGAGAGCCUGUCACAAAAUUAAAUAAAUAAAUAAAUAAAUAAAUAAAUAAAUAAAUAAAUAAAAGGGCUGGAGAUGCAGCUCAGUGGUGAGGCACCCCUGGGUUUGCUCUCCUGUACUGUAAAAAUAAACAAAAAGAAAAUGAAAGAACAUUAGGAGAAAAGAGACUUUAGAUUUUUUUUUCAGACUUUUAUUACCAUCACAUCAUCUGUUUUGAACAAUGGGGUCUAUCUCUUCCCUGUUAUUCUUGCCUCUGGAGAAAAAAAAAUCAGCUUUUAAAGGCUUCUUUUGUUACAUUUGCAUUUUAUUACAGCUUCCAUCAUUCUGGCUUUCAAUAAUAAUAGUAUUAAUACCACCUAACAUUUACUGGGUACUUGCAUUUUAUGCACUGUGAUAAA